UCCCUGGUGGUCCAGUGGUUAGGGCCUUGCCUUCUGAGGCAGAGGGUGCAGGUUCAAUCCCCGUUUGGGGAA
RNAcentral lists this transfer RNA (72 nucleotides) under Ovis aries (sheep). It matches the Rfam family "tRNA". From Rfam's summary of the family: Transfer RNA (tRNA) molecules are approximately 80 nucleotides in length. Lineage: Eukaryota; Metazoa; Chordata; Mammalia; Artiodactyla; Bovidae. The record is from Rfam by way of RNAcentral.